RNAcentral lists this ribosomal RNA (491 nucleotides) under uncultured bacterium. RNAcentral's name for it is "bacterial SSU rRNA". It matches the Rfam family "Bacterial small subunit ribosomal RNA", at positions 30 to 512 of the family's 1533-position model. The record is from RNAcentral.
AUUGAACGCUGGCGGCACGCCUAACACAUGCAAGUCGAACGGCAGCACGGAGAGUAGCAAUACUUUUGGGUGGCGAGUGGCGGACGGGUGAGUAACGCGUAGGAAUCCACCCUAGAGAUGAGGAUAACUUGGGGAAACUCAAGCUAAUACUGAAUACGCCCUUAGGGGUAAAGGUUGCGCAAGCAGCCGCUUUAGGAUGAGCCUGCGUUAGAUUAGCUAGUUGGUGGGGUAAAGGCCUACCAAGGCGACGAUCUAUAGCUGUUCUGAGAGGAAGAUCAGCCACACUGGGACUGAGACACGGCCCAGACUCCUACGGGAGGCAGCAGUGGGGAAUCUUGGACAAUGGGGGCAACCCUGAUCCAGCGAUGCCGCGUGUGUGAAGAAGGCCUUAGGGUUGUAAAGCACUUUAAUGAGGGAGGAGUAGGGUUCGUUGAAUAGGCGGAUCUGAGGACGUUACCUCAAGAAUAAGCACCGGCUAACUCUGUGCCAGC